GAAGAAGACGUGAGAACCACCUCACCUCUCCUGCAGUUUCCAGCUCCUCACGGUGAGACUCGGUAAUGAAGAGCAAAACGGGACAAGAAGGUCCAAGAACCUGUGAGGGGGACACAAAUGGAGCAGCGGUCCUUGGUCUUUGGCGUGCUCUGCCACUUUCGAGGAAUGACGAAGCUUGAAGAAACCUGCAGAGGCCAUCUAUUCUAUCUUGGACUCACUGGUAAAGAAACUGAGCCCCACAGAAUUUAACUUACUUCAAACUGAAGUCUGAAAAGCAGAAAAAUUGUUGAAUUUGAUCAUUGUUCUUUCUGAUAGUGAACAA
Molecule: long non-coding RNA, 322 nt
Organism: Fukomys damarensis (Damara mole-rat)
Lineage: Eukaryota; Metazoa; Chordata; Mammalia; Rodentia; Bathyergidae
Exons: 3
Source: RefSeq, a predicted model, not a curated record